CCACACUAAAAUCUUUCCACGUGUAACUGUUUUGCUGUUUUUGUUGGGGCUGUUCUGUUCUGUUGUGCUGCUUUUUUGCGGUGGGGCGGGGCGGUUUGGCCUAUCAACUGGGUUGUUGUGUGAGGGGAGCUAGCCUUUGUGGCGGGUACCUGUUGCGUGGCGCCUGGUUUGUUUUAAACCCAUUUGAAAUGACUGAUUUAUAUUGCGGGGGAGAAAUCCUUUGCUCUUAACUAGAUACAACUUUCAGCAGUGGAUGUCUAGGCUCGCACAUCGAUGAAGAACGCUGCGAACUGCGAUACGUAAUGCGAAUUGCAGGAUUCAGUGAGUCAUCGAAAUUUUGAACGCAUAUUGCACUUCCGGGUUAUGCCUGGGAGUAUGUCUGUAUCAGUGUCCGUACAUCAAAGUUGCCUCUCUUCCUUCCGUGUAGUCGGUGGAUGGGGAUGGCAGAUGUGAAGUGUCUUGUGUGGUGGCAGCGCGCUUUGUGUGCUGACUGUCUGUCAAGUCCUUUUAAAUGUACCGUGUUUCUUCUUUAGCUCGAACUGGUGUCUUUCGCGUGCUAUUUUUGCGGCAUGCCGGGGACCUGUUGUGAGGACGUUUAGGAGAUCGCUUUCGAUUCGUGGUAUGUUAGGCUUCGGCCGGACAGUUCACUUAUUGUUAGUGUUUUCCUGUUUUCUCGACUGGGUGUACUGGUAGUUGUGGGAUUUUUGGCGUGUGAAUGUUGUCUGUAGUAGAGUGCCUUGGCUUGAUUGUCUUGGCGGAGCGACGCAAAGUUUUUGGGAAAUUUGUGUGGCUGUUUGCUUAAGUGCUUUCGGCUUGCAUCUCAA
RNAcentral lists this ribosomal RNA (824 nucleotides) under Halophytophthora exoprolifera. RNAcentral describes it as "eukaryotic LSU rRNA". The stretch from base 239 to 393 matches the Rfam family "5.8S ribosomal RNA". Lineage: Eukaryota; Oomycota; Peronosporomycetes; Peronosporales; Peronosporaceae. The record is from RNAcentral.